This 449-nucleotide ribosomal RNA is filed under the name uncultured bacterium. RNAcentral describes it as "partial 16S ribosomal RNA". It matches the Rfam family "Bacterial small subunit ribosomal RNA", at positions 354 to 796 of the family's 1533-position model. The record is from RNAcentral.
GUCGAGAAUCUUUCACAAUGGGGGCAACCCUGAUGGAGCGACGCCGCGUGGAGGAUAAGGUCUUCGGAUUGUAAACUCCUGUCAUGCGUGAACAAGGUUGCUUGGUUAAUACCUGGGCAAAUUGAUGGUAACGCAAGAGAAAGAGACGGCUAACUCUGUGCCAGCAGCCGUGGUAAUACAGAGGUCUCAAGCGUUGUUCGGAAUCACUGGGCGUAAAGGGUGCGUAGGUGGCGUGGCAAGUCAGAUGUGAAAGCCCGGGGCUCAACCUCGGAACUGCAUCCGAUACUGCCAUGCUAGAGUACUGGAGGGGUGACUAGAAUUCUCGGUGUAGCAGUGAAAUGCGUAGAUAUCGAGAGGAAUACCAAAGGCGUAGGCAGGUCACUGGACAGUUACUGACACUGAGGCACGAAGGCCAGGGGAGCGAACGGGAUUAGAAACCCUGGUAGUCC